RNAcentral lists this unclassified non-coding RNA (235 nucleotides) under plant metagenome. RNAcentral describes it as "partial contains small subunit ribosomal RNA, internal transcribed spacer 1, and 5.8S ribosomal RNA". The record is from RNAcentral.
UCUCCGUUGGUGAACCAGCGGAGGGAUCAUUACCGAAGUUAACUUCAAAACCCACUGUGAACCUUACCUCUUGCCGCGUUGUCUCGGCGGGAGGCGGUGUGCGUCGCGCGCCCUAGCGGGCCGCGCCGCUCCCGUCCCCGCCGGCAGCGCCAAACUCUAAAUGCACAGCGGACUGUACGUUCUGAUUUACCAACAAAACAAGUUAAAACUUUCAACAACGGAUCUCUUGGUUCUG